AUCAAUUAAUAGUUUGCUCUGCCGGGCCGAUUUUCCAUGUGCUUCUGCUGGUUACACCGUGGUGGAUGCCUGCCGUGCUGCUUGGAGUAUUUUACACAAACGUAAAAUGCUGGUCCAGGUUCGAUACUGCCAACAGCAGAAGUAUGUGAAGUUGGAAGAGGUUGAUGGGCGUUUUGAGUUUAUGCAGUUUCAUGAAAAAGAAUUUUCUGAUUACUCCUUGUCUUCUGCAUCUGAUUGUUCUGACUCAAGCUUCAGCUCAAAUGCAAGUACAUCAACUAUACUUCUAGAUGAGGGUCCC
This is a non-coding RNA of Maylandia zebra (zebra mbuna), 298 nucleotides long. The record is from RefSeq and is a predicted model, not a curated record. NCBI's taxonomy places the organism in Eukaryota, Metazoa, Chordata, Actinopteri, Cichliformes, Cichlidae.